Neodiprion virginianus is the source of this 737-nucleotide long non-coding RNA. RefSeq lists it as uncharacterized. The record is from RefSeq and is a predicted model, not a curated record. Lineage: Eukaryota; Metazoa; Arthropoda; Insecta; Hymenoptera; Diprionidae. The transcript is spliced from 3 exons.
UUCUGUUUGCAGUUUGGUCACCGAUUCAUCUACGCUUUGAGUGUAAUACGGUUCUUCAUGAACAUUAUUUUCAGCUUGGAUGCUGGAUGUGAAUGAUAUUUGGUAUACCAAAUUAACAGAUUUUCGGAAUGAGUUCGAUGAAGUGUGUCCCGGUGAAUGAACGAAUUCAAAAUUCGUUGCAGGAAUGAGCCAUCGUCGUGACGUUGCAAUAACCGCAGCUCGAAAUGGUAGAUUUUUGCAUCGAGAAAUGGAAACUUGAUUGCUUCACGGGGCAGAGUUCGGGAGUUAUUCAAGUUUGGAGAAGGAGAAGCAGGAUGAUUGAUGAGCAUUGACUCCGCGCAAGCAAACUGCUAACAAGGCGGAUGAGACCGAUUAAGAAUCCAAAUUGGAGAAAAUCAAACACCGAGGAAGAAGAGGACGACUUUGUUCUCACUCCAUGAGCGAUAUGCAGAGGGUGUUGGUGUUACCAAUUACCCAUUCCAACUGCAUGCUGCACCUUGAUUGCCAAUGUUCGAUUCCCAAUCAGAUUACGUUUUCCAUCAUGACUUAAUUCGGAUGUCUGAACAACUCGCCCAUUCUGUACCAAGAUUUAACUCUCUUACUCAAUGUAUAAGUGAAAUCUUUGUAUCCGCACAGUCAAUUAGAACCUAGAAUAAUUCUUUUCUCGUCAAAUAUGCGGACUGAUGUAAUUUCAUUAAACUGCAAAGGUGAAUUAUUGUAAUAUAAAUGAAGAUUUG